GAUGAAGAACGUAGCGAAAUGCGAUACUUGGUGUGAAUUGCAGAAUCCCGUGAACCAUCGAGUCUUUGAACGCAAGUUGCGCCCGAAGCCAUUAGGCCGAGGGCACGCCUGCCUGGGCGUCACACGUCGUUGCCCCCCCAUCUACUCCUUCGGGAUUGCGGGGGGCGGAUGAUGGCCUCCCGUGCGCCUCGUCGCGCGGUUGGCAUAAAUGCCAAGUCCUCGGCGACGCACGCCACGACAAUCGGUGGUUGCGAAACCUCGGUUGCCCGUCGUGUGCGGUCGUCGCGCAUCGAGGGCUCGAAAAAAUUGCCGGGCUCCGGCUCGGCUUUCAACGCGACCCCAGGUCAGGCGGGGUUACCCGCUGAAUUUAAGCAUAUCAAUAAGCGGAGAA
Molecule: unclassified non-coding RNA, 391 nt
Filed under: soil metagenome
Description: partial contains 5.8S ribosomal RNA, internal transcribed spacer 2, and large subunit ribosomal RNA
Rfam family: 5.8S ribosomal RNA (bases 1-122)
Source: RNAcentral